This is a long non-coding RNA of Monodelphis domestica (gray short-tailed opossum), 1030 nucleotides long. RefSeq lists it as uncharacterized. The record is from RefSeq and is a predicted model, not a curated record. Lineage: Eukaryota; Metazoa; Chordata; Mammalia; Didelphimorphia; Didelphidae.
UCCAUUUUAUUUGUUAAGUAGUGACAUAGAGAAAGCACAUUAAUUAUCCAAGAUUAUUCUAUAAAGAAGUUAUAUGACUGAGAAUCAAUAGGCACUACCGAUUCUAUAAAAUAUAAACAUUUGACCAGAGUCAUACAUAUACUAGGUACUUAAUUAUUAUUCUAAGUGAUAUACAAGGAAUGAUGUGCUGCUGUACAAUAGAAAGAAAGUCAUUUAAAACAUACAGUGUUUGUUCUCAGGGAGUCCAAAUAUCUAGCAAGGCAACAUUUAAUGGAAUUCUAUACCACAGAAUAUGUCUUUCUUGAACACAGAGUAGAGAGAGAAGCUUCUUCCUCUUGACCCACCUACCUACCCUAUCUUCACAAUCUCCUAAUCAGCAGCCUCUUCACCUUUCAGCUUUGCACUCUUCUGAGUAACAAAGAGAAGUACCUUAAUGAAUGAGGUAAGAGAAUGACAUGUAAGCUGUUGCUGCACGCCUAGGAGCAAAGGAGCACUUCUAACCCUUUCACUCCCAGCAGCAAGGUGGAUUUGGGGCUAAAGACUAGGGUAUCCCUAAAAUCUGGAGCACCCUAUGUGUACAAGGGAAUGACCAGAAAGAAGGAAAUUUGAAAAUUUGAAGAAAUGCAACAGAAAAGGACCAGAUGGAACCUCCACAAGACCUGGGCGAAUGGAAUGGAAUUACAGCCAGGCUCAAAAGCAGUUGGAGGAGGAAAACAAAAGUUCUUCUGAUCUUAGACUCUUUGGAGCUGGGAGGGAGAACUACUUGGCUGGGAAUAUAUACAAAAUCUCAUUACUUUGCUUGAACAGAAGAAGAUCUCAAUUCUCAACUGGAACCAAUCUUUGGGAUAAGGACUCUCUUUUUCCCUUAGGGGAACCCAGAACUUAUUUCUGAAGAAUAUUACUUAGGUCAAAACCCUCAAAAGCUAUAUAGGGAAAAUAUUUUAGGGAUCUCCUCUUCCCACUGUCCUUUUCCAUUACCCUUUCAAUCUUUUAUAUCCAAAUAAAUUAGAUAUCAUGAUUUAUAAUAGAA